UAAAACACUUAUUUUAAAUGUUCUAGGCAGUGGCAAGUGAUCUACAAAGGACUAAAAAACCCUGUAAGUUUCCCUACCUGCCUUUGACCUUUGAUGUGUCAAUGAUCUGUUAAAUUCAGAGAUUAGCCAUCAAGUCAUAUUCUGUUAUUCAUGUUCAUUUCUCUGUCAGACUUCAUCAAACUUUGAAUUCAGUCACAAACAAGAAUAACAAUGUUGAUCAAAUGCAUUCUGUUCGAUCUAGAAUACUUUACAUCACAGUUCCAUUGAAAAUACUGUUUUUGUUCUGUUUGUUCAAAACAGAUGACGAAGGAACUGCUUGCCAAAUUGUGCAAGACAAUUGUAACCUUCAUCGCACAGACCACCCUGCAGAUCCUGCUGCCAGCCCUGGCCCGCGUACUUGGGGUAAAGGACUUUGCUGACGACGACACUGACUCACCCAAGAGGGGUGGUAGUGCAAGAUCCUUUGCUGCCUUUGACAAGGAAAGACUGGAGCUCAUCCAGGAAGUUAGAUAUCUGGCGAAGAAAAUGUAUAAGGGCGGCACAGGGGCUCAACAUCUCAGGUCCCUAACACCCUCUUCUAAGAGUUCCCAGACCUCAGUGAAAGUCCACCUGGGAAUGACAGAGGACAGAAUCAUCAAAAGUGUCCAGGAGCAACUGUCUGAUCAUAAUAUCCUGUCCUCUUGCCCACCUGAGCUGACUGUUGGUCUUAUCAAGGUGGUGGUCGAACAGCUUAACUCUGCCCUCUCUGCGACCAUCAGCAGAGCCAUUUCAGGGCGGUCCUCCCCUAUUUCUUCUGGUACCCAGGCCGCUGAACAAAUGGUCAACAUGGUCCAGAAAUGUUUUGAUGAUCACACCACCCCAGAGGACCAGAGCUCUACCUCUGUAUUAGAGUCAUGCAUUCCACCUGCAACAGAAGAAGUGAUGACUGUUAUCGCAGAGAUGGUGGGUGAAUUGGAAAAAGAAGAUCCGGAAUUGGCUAAGGUUUUUCGAGAAGUGGCUGUGAAAGUUAAAAUGUUGGCAUCUGGCAGUGACCUUGUAGUGGAGCACCUGGAUGUUGAAGACUCUCCUGUUCCAGAGGAGCUGAACAUAAUAUGUACAUCUUGCAAAGCAAUGAUGCAAAAUCUUGGCACUCUGUUUAGUGUGAAGUUCAAGACCAAAGCCUCAAAGGCUGUGAGUGAAAUUCUUGUGAGAAGGUUAAUGAGCGAUAUCUCUGGUAUGGUUCAACCUUCUCAUUCGUUUAGUACCACUCCAAGCUUGAUGAAUGCAUCUAGCCCAUCUGACAGGAUCCUUGAUUCUGCGGCCAUUGAGCUCAUACAGAUCAAAGUAGAAUCUGAGACAUCAAAAAUAAUUGAUAACUUUGUUGAAGAUGUCAAGGACAUUGUGCAGUAUGCUGAAUUAGAUCGGCCAACAAGCACCCAGAGAGAUACCCAAGUGGGACACUGUACGACAAAGCGGAAACCCUUCCGUGCAGCUCGUAGACUCUGCGAGAGACUUCAGGCAAAGCUGGAGACAUUGUUCCUCAGAAUGGGUGGAGCUCCAGUCCAAGGGGAAGAACUUAUGGAAAAAGCUGACUCCAGUGCUGUGCUUCUGGAGCAUACUGACUCCAGUGAUCUGCUUGUUUCAAUCCUGAGCUUGCCUUCCCCAUGUAGGAGUGAAUCCCCUAUAUCAGAACGUAGUUCAUCUUCUUUAUCUGAUGGAUGUGAUUCAACUGACUCUGUAGGAGAGAAAACACCAGAGCAACCUGAAACCAGUAAGAGUGAGGCAAUACUGCAAGUGGUCAACUCAACAGGACUUGGUUCUCUCCGUAAAUGCCAAAGUGAGAACUCUCAACCAUUACUGUCUCUCUGUGAUUCCAACAUGGUGCCCUGCACCAAAGAGGUCUUGUCCCAGAUUGUGACCAUGUAUAGGUCAGAGGUGGCAGAUUUGGAAUGCACAUCAUCUGUUGCAGAGGGUUCCUCUUCCAACUCCCUUGAAGUCUGUGGCUUUUUGGACAGUGUCAUGUCUUAUCUAGAAGACAUGCCUGUGUCUGGUUCUUCAUGGUUGGAAGGAUUGAGAGAUACUCCAGCCUCAGUCAUUGAGAAACUCUCCAGUGAGGAGUUCCAGAUGAACGCUACCAACGAAGUGCGAAAAAUACUGAUCAAAUCAGUCAGUAGCUUUCCCAGCAAAGUCAGUUCCAGCCAGACAGAUUCUCAGAUGUUGCCAGCAAAAUCAACAAUUUCCUUAAGGCAUACAGAUAUAACUGCUUUUGAAAUCGUUGGAUCAAUUACAAAUGACAUGAAGAGCCUUUUCCCACCCACAGAGUCUUCUACUACUCUAUGGCAGGCAGACUCUAUGCUUCAACAGAGUGAUGAGAAAACCUCAGAGUACACUGAGGCCACACCCAAAGGCUCACAGUCUGGUUUGGAAGUAUCUGAGAAGAAGAUCUGGACAACUGCAAAGACUAUUUACCACAAUGUGAAGACAAAGAUGAGGAAUUAUUUUACAUGGCAAAAUCAAGUCAAAGCAACAACGGCUCAUGCCAAAAAGACCCUCAGCCAUAUUCUGGUUUCAAUUCAGAAAGAGCUGUCAAAAUCUGACCAAACGGUGACUGCGCUUUCACAAAUAGAGAAUGUGGUUGGAAUGAUGCUGAAGGAUGUUGAAAGGGUAAGCAGUGAAUGUGGUGAGGAACUGAUCUAUCAAGCGUCACAGCGUUCUUCCUCCUUGUUGUCAUCCUCAUCUGCCAGAUCAAAGAAGUCAGAGUGGGAAUUUUCACUCCCUGGCACUCCCAUCUCUUCUGAUUUACCAGAGUGUAUUACUCAGCCCAUUGUGAGAUGCUCAGUCAUCGACAUGGGCAAAUCUACUAAGCCAAAAACAUUGGUGUGUGAUGCCAGGGAAAGCAUGUCUGCAAUAGUGGAUACCAUCAUAAAGGAGGUACAUCCAGAGGAAGAAGGGGAGGUUGCAUUCCACCCUGAUCUAACAGCUGCAAUAGCAAGACUGGAGGAGCUCAUAUCUCAGGGUAGGAUUGGUGCUCUCUCACGUGAUCUUACUCACCAAGUCAACCGCAUCAUUUCUGAGAGCAACUUGACCCCUCUGGUUCUGACAGUGGCGGCUGGAAAGAGUGCAUCCGAUACAGUCCUUACUGAGCUGAAGAGGAAUGACAAGACGGUGGGGAAGCCCACAGCUUACAAGCUGGUUCAGCUUUUUGCAGAGGAGUCUGUGAAGCGCCUCUUGCUUCCUAGCCUUGUGCCCUCUACAGCUUCAAUGAGUUUGGCUCAGGGAGUUAGUGUGCCGGCUAGCGUAUCUGAAGAUAGGAUUUCAUGUUCUUUUUCUACAUCAGCAUUUAGUGACACAGUCAGCCUGUUUACCAAAGUAAUGGUAAGCCAGGUCAUGGACUCUGUGGUUUCUGAUGCACAAAGCAGAGGGUCAUCUCCAACCGGAACUGUAACUGAUAUAGGCAGUCUACUGAGUGGUAAGUCCUACCCUCUGCCAUCUUUCUCCGCCAUCAGCAUGACAACAAGUGGGACCUCCAAUGCUGCACGAGGCUUUGAGGCCAACAUAGAUGCUGAGGAAAGGGAUACCAUCAGUUGUUUCGGUGUACCUCAGAGCAUUGUUUGUGAUCAGAAUUCAACCAGCCCGGAUGUUGCCUCGCUUUCAACCCCAUCCACUGACAACUUAGUCGGUGAUGAUGACUUCACCGGCCUCAUCAGCAUGUUAGUGGUGAGACUUCUGUCAAAAAUCCAAACCCAAACUGAUCUGUACCCAACUGACGUCACACGCACGUCACAAGACCUGAUUCCAAAAGUUAUAGCUGCCUUCUGUGCAUGGUCAGGCUGCUCUGAGACCCAAGCUUAUCCCAAGAACCUGAAGAGUCACAAAGUAUACAGCACCGUCUACAAACAUCUGUUGAAGGAGUUUGGCUCAGAGAAAAUAAUCCAACUGGCCGUGUCGACUCAGGACUCCACAUUCAAUAGGAUUCUUGUGAAGUCAUUGAGCAAGGAGCUUCUCCACAGUUGUAACGAGGCAUCAAGAGCAGCCUCAAGAACAUCUUUCGAAGCCACCAGGCCAGAAGCUCUUCUCAUGGCUGAAGAUGUGAAGGCUACCAGAGGGAAGCUGUCUUUCCUACAAAGGCUUGCCAGACUGAAAUUCGACUUAAAGGUACAUCACACUUAUUUAAGUUAA
Molecule: long non-coding RNA, 4158 nt
Organism: Oncorhynchus kisutch (coho salmon)
Lineage: Eukaryota; Metazoa; Chordata; Actinopteri; Salmoniformes; Salmonidae
Source: Ensembl